GACGAACGCUGGCGGCGUGCCUAAUACAUGCAAGUAGAACGCUGAAGGAGGAGCUUGCUCUUCUGGAUGAGUUGCGAACGGGUGAGUAACGCGUAGGUAACCUGCCUGGUAGCGGGGGAUAACUAUUGGAAACGAUAGCUAAUACCGCAUAAUAGUAGAUGUUGCAUGACAUUUGCUUGAAAGGUGCAAUUGCAUCACUACCAGAUGGACCUGCGUUGUAUUAGCUAGUUGGUGGGGUAACGGCUCACCAAGGCGACGAUACAUAGCCGACCUGAGAGGGUGAUCGGCCACACUGGGACUGAGACACGGCCCAGACUCCUACGGGAGGCAGCAGUAGGGAAUCUUCGGCAAUGGACGGAAGUCUGACCGAGCAACGCCGCGUGAGUGAAGAAGGUUUUCGGAUCGUAAAGCUCUGUUGUAAGAGAAGAACGAGUGUGAGAGUGGAAAGUUCAUACUGUGACGUAUCUACCAGAAAGG
RNAcentral lists this ribosomal RNA (477 nucleotides) under Streptococcus sp. oral taxon 064. RNAcentral describes it as "bacterial SSU rRNA". It matches the Rfam family "Bacterial small subunit ribosomal RNA", at positions 28 to 491 of the family's 1533-position model. The record is from RNAcentral. Lineage: Bacteria; Bacillati; Bacillota; Bacilli; Lactobacillales; Streptococcaceae.